UAUUUAUAAAUAAGAACUUGCUGGAUAGUUGGACCAAUCUACAUUUGCCCUAAUGAACAGGAAUGACAGCAGAAAAAUAUAAUUUCUAAUGUCCAUUAUUUUUUAUCCUUAGAGAUAGAUCAAUAAAACCCACAGGAAGGAAUUCUCAUCAAUAAACUACUAAUGAAACUGGAAUCACCAAUUUUACCUACUUGAAGUUGUCCUAACUGUUGGGUCACCCAGGACCACUUACUUAGUCUCUCUUCUAAUGACUUGGGAGCAUGGCCCUAAACAGGUACUGGGGAUCAAAUCCAGGACCUUGUGCCUACUAGCUAGAUGAUGGCUGUUUCCCACAAGCAGAUUCUACAAUCGAACGUUGUUUUUGCAGCGAUGGGAAUCCAAUGAACUGCCAGAAGAGAUCGAUUAAAAGGACAACCCAGAGCUCAGGAUGAAUCUCAGAAGACCACUUGCCUAGCACUUGAGCCUCUGGGUUCAAUCUCCAACAGCGCGCGCGCGCGCGCGCGCGCGCACACACACACACACACCCCUAAGGCUGAAAAACCUCAGAGAAGGCAGGAGAAUCGAUGCGAGUUCCAAGCUAGCCUGAGUUAGGUGACUUCAGGGCCAGCCUGAACUACAAAGUGAGACCCUGUCUCAAAAAAACAAAAAGAAAAAGAGGGAGGA
This is a long non-coding RNA of Fukomys damarensis (Damara mole-rat), 663 nucleotides long. RefSeq lists it as uncharacterized. The record is from RefSeq and is a predicted model, not a curated record. The transcript is spliced from 3 exons. Lineage: Eukaryota; Metazoa; Chordata; Mammalia; Rodentia; Bathyergidae.